RNAcentral lists this ribosomal RNA (253 nucleotides) under uncultured bacterium. RNAcentral describes it as "partial 16S ribosomal RNA". It matches the Rfam family "Bacterial small subunit ribosomal RNA", at positions 524 to 776 of the family's 1533-position model. The record is from RNAcentral.
UACGGAGGGUGCAAGCGUUGUCCGGAUUUAUUGGGUUUAAAGGGUGCGUAGGCGGGCCAACAAGUCAGUGGUGAAAUCCUGCAGCUCAACUGUAGAAUUGCCAUUGAUACUGUAGGUCUUGAAUACAGUCGAGGUGGUUGGAAUACGUAGUGUAGCGGUGAAAUGCUUAGAUAUUACGUAGAACACCUAUUGCGAAGGCAAAUCACUAGGCUGGGAUUGACGCUGAGGCACGAAAGCGUGGGGAGCGAACAGG